RNAcentral lists this ribosomal RNA (716 nucleotides) under uncultured bacterium. RNAcentral describes it as "bacterial SSU rRNA". It matches the Rfam family "Bacterial small subunit ribosomal RNA", at positions 505 to 1221 of the family's 1533-position model. The record is from RNAcentral.
GUGCCAGCCGCCGCGGUAAUACGUAGGUGGCAAGCGUUGUCCGGAUUUAUUGGGCGUAAAGCGAGCGCAGGCGGUUUCUUAAGUCUGAUGUGAAAGCCCCCGGCUCAACCGGGGAGGGUCAUUGGAAACUGGGAGACUUGAGUGCAGAAGAGGAGAGUGGAAUUCCAUGUGUAGCGGUGAAAUGCGUAGAUAUAUGGAGGAACACCAGUGGCGAAGGCGGCUCUCUGGUCUGUAACUGACGCUGAGGCUCGAAAGCGUGGGGAGCGAACAGGAUUAGAUACCCUGGUAGUCCACGCCGUAAACGAUGAGUGCUAAGUGUUGGAGGGUUUCCGCCCUUCAGUGCUGCAGCAAACGCAUUAAGCACUCCGCCUGGGGAGUACGACCGCAAGGUUGAAACUCAAAGGAAUUGACGGGGGCCCGCACAAGCGGUGGAGCAUGUGGUUUAAUUCGAAGCAACGCGAAGAACCUUACCAGGUCUUGACAUCCUUUGACCACUCUAGAGAUAGAGCUUCCCCUUCGGGGGCAAAGUGACAGGUGGUGCAUGGUUGUCGUCAGCUCGUGUCGUGAGAUGUUGGGUUAAGUCCCGCAACGAGCGCAACCCUUAUUGUUAGUUGCCAUCAUUUAGUUGGGCACUCUAGCGAGACUGCCGGUGACAAACCGGAGGAAGGUGGGGAUGACGUCAAAUCAUCAUGCCCCUUAUGACCUGGGCUACACAC